RNAcentral lists this transfer RNA (65 nucleotides) under Dipodomys ordii (Ord's kangaroo rat). It matches the Rfam family "tRNA". Rfam says of the family: Transfer RNA (tRNA) molecules are approximately 80 nucleotides in length. Their secondary structure includes four short double-helical elements and three loops (D, anti-codon, and T loops). Lineage: Eukaryota; Metazoa; Chordata; Mammalia; Rodentia; Heteromyidae. The record is from Rfam by way of RNAcentral.
GGUGGCUCAGUGGUAGAGUGCUUGCAUUUCAUGCAUGAGGCCCUGGGUUCAAUUCCUCAGUACCA